Long non-coding RNA from Eptesicus fuscus (big brown bat), 452 nucleotides. RefSeq lists it as uncharacterized. The record is from RefSeq and is a predicted model, not a curated record. The transcript is spliced from 3 exons. Lineage: Eukaryota; Metazoa; Chordata; Mammalia; Chiroptera; Vespertilionidae.
GCUGGAGUAAUUCUUCUCAAGAGAAGCAGCUUGGGUUUAACUCAAAUUUUCCUUUAAGGUCUCUCUGCUUUGACAGAGAGGCAAAAAGAAACAAAAGCACCUGGCUAUCUAGAAAAGGAAAGGGGCUCUGAGAACAAGGAUAGGAAGGGAAGAUUGAACUCCUUAAGAACAUCAUCUCUGAAUAUCCAGUAUCUGGUACCUCGUAGGUGCUCAAAAACUGUGAAUCCAAUUGUGAUACUUUGAAAACCAGAGAUAAAGGACAGAAGAAGCCUUGGAUCCAAAUGCACUGUAAGAGGAGACUGGAGAAUUUAAGAUCUUGAGGACAUGGGACUGCUACUCAGGCACUGUAGCAACACAAGGCUCUUGCUCCAGUGAAAAGUUAAACCAUGCUUGAAAUAAAACAAACAAGGCAAGACAAAAGAAAUCUCCAGAGUGAAUAUAAAUUGAGGAAA